Molecule: ribosomal RNA, 252 nt
Filed under: uncultured bacterium
Lineage: Bacteria
Description: partial 16S ribosomal RNA
Rfam family: Bacterial small subunit ribosomal RNA
Source: RNAcentral
UACGUAGGUGGCAAGCGUUAUCCGGAAUUAUUGGGCGUAAAGAGGGAGCAGGCGGCAGCAAAGGUCUGUGGUGAAAGACUGAAGCUUAACCUCAGUAAGCCAUAGAAACCGGGCAGCUAGAGUGCAGGAGAGGAUCGUGGAAUUCCAUGUGUAGCGGUGAAAUGCGUAGAUAUAUGGAGGAACACCAGUGGCGAAGGCGACGAUCUGGCCUGCAACUGACGCUCAGUCCCGAAAGCGUGGGGAGCAAACAGG